This 253-nucleotide ribosomal RNA is filed under the name uncultured bacterium. RNAcentral's name for it is "partial 16S ribosomal RNA". It matches the Rfam family "Bacterial small subunit ribosomal RNA", at positions 524 to 776 of the family's 1533-position model. The record is from RNAcentral.
UGCAGAGGGGGCAAGCGUUGUUCGGAAUUACUGGGCGUAAAGGGCGCGUAGGCGGCCUUCUAAGUCGAACGUGAAAUCCCCGGGCUCAACCCGGGAACUGCGUCCGAUACUGGAAGGCUUGAAUCCGGGAGAGGGAUGCGGAAUUCCAGGUGUAGCGGUGAAAUGCGUAGAUAUCUGGAGGAACACCGGUGGCGAAGGCGGCAUCCUGGACCGGCAUUGACGCUGAGGCGCGAAAGCGUGGGGAGCAAACAGG